AACGAACGCUGGCGGCAGGCUUAACACAUGCAAGUCGAGCGCCUCGCAAGAGGAGCGGCAGACGGGUGAGUACCGCGUGGGAACGUACCCUUAUCUUCGGAAUAGCUCUGGGAAACUGGAAGUAAUACCGAAUGUGUCCUUAGGGGGAAAGAUUUAUCGGAUAAGGAUCGGCCCGCGUUGGAUUAGCUAGUUGGUGGGGUAAAGGCCUACCAAGGCGACGAUCCAUAGCUGGUCUGAGAGGAUGAUCAGCCACAUUGGGACUGAGACACGGCCCAAACUCCUACGGGAGGCAGCAGUGGGGAAUAUUGGACAAUGGGCGCAAGCCUGAUCCAGCCAUGCCGCGUGAGUGAUGAAGGCCUUAGGGUUGUAAAGCUCUUUCACCGGAGAAGAUAAUGACGGUAUCCGGAGAAGAAGCCCCGGCUAACUUCGUG
This 431-nucleotide ribosomal RNA is filed under the name uncultured bacterium. Its description in RNAcentral is "partial 16S ribosomal RNA". It matches the Rfam family "Bacterial small subunit ribosomal RNA", at positions 29 to 507 of the family's 1533-position model. The record is from RNAcentral.